AGCGAACGCUGGCGGCAGGCCUAACACAUGCAAGUCGAACGGAUCCUUCGGGAUUAGUGGCGGACGGGUGAGUAACACGUGGGAACGUGCCCUUUGGUUCGGAACAACUCAGGGAAACUUGAGCUAAUACCGGAUGUGCCCUUCGGGGAAAGAUUUAUCGCCAUUGGAGCGGCCCGCGUCUGAUUAGCUAGUUGGUGGGGUAAAGGCCCACCAAGGCGACGAUCAGUAGCUGGUCUGAGAGGAUGAUCAGCCACAUUGGGACUGAGACACGGCCCAAACUCCUACGGGAGGCAGCAGUGGGGAAUCUUGCGCAAUGGGCGAAAGCCUGACGCAGCCAUGCCGCGUGAAUGAUGAAGGUCUUAGGAUUGUAAAAUUCUUUCACCGGGGACGAUAAUGACGGUACCCGGAGAAGAAGCCCCGGCUAACUUCGUGCCAGCAGCCGCAAGU
This 447-nucleotide ribosomal RNA is filed under the name uncultured bacterium. RNAcentral describes it as "bacterial SSU rRNA". It matches the Rfam family "Bacterial small subunit ribosomal RNA", at positions 29 to 522 of the family's 1533-position model. The record is from RNAcentral.